ACUCAAAGGAAUUGACGGGGGUCCGCACAACCGGUGGAACAUGUGGUUUAAUUCGAUGAUACGCGAAGAACCUUACCUGGGCUUGACAUAUACCUGGUAGGAGCCCGAAAGGGUAACGACCUAUCUUCCAAGAUAGGAGGGUAAACAGGUGGUGCAUGGCUGUCGUCAGCUCGUGCCGUGAGGUGUUGGGUUAAGUCCCGGAACGAGCGCAACCCUUGCUCUUAGUUACUUGUCUGCAAAGACAGGACUCUAAGAGGACUGCCGUGGUUAACACGGAGGAAGGUGGGGAUGACGUCAAGUCAGCACGCCCCUUAUGUCCAGGGCUACACACGUGUUACAAUGGUUGGUACAGAGAGAAGCAAAUCCGCAAGGUAGAGCAAAUCUUAAAAAGCCAACCUCAGUUCGGAUUGUAGGCUGCAACCUGCCUGCAUGAAGCUGGAAUCGGUAGUAAUCGCGGAUCAGCCACGCCGCGGUGAAUACGUUCUCGGACCUUGUACACACCGCCCGU
RNAcentral lists this ribosomal RNA (508 nucleotides) under uncultured bacterium. Its description in RNAcentral is "bacterial SSU rRNA". It matches the Rfam family "Bacterial small subunit ribosomal RNA", at positions 899 to 1397 of the family's 1533-position model. The record is from RNAcentral.